AUUGAACGCUGGCGGAAUGCUUUACACAUGCAAGUCGAACGGCAGCACGGGGGCAACCCUGGUGGCGAGUGGCGAACGGGUGAGUAAUACAUCGGAACGUGCCCAGUCGUGGGGGAUAACGUAGCGAAAGUUACGCUAAUACCGCAUACGAUCUACGGAUAAAAGCGGGGGACCGUAAGGCCUCGCGCGAUUGGAGCGGCCGAUGUCAGAUUAGGUAGUUGGUGAGGUAAAGGCUCACCAAGCCGACGAUCUGUAGCUGGUCUGAGAGGACGACCAGCCACACUGGGACUGAGACACGGCCCAGACUCCUACGGGAGGCAGCAGUGGGGAAUUUUGGACAAUGGGCGCAAGCCCGAUCCAGCCAUUCCGCGUGCAGGACGAAGGCCUUCGGGUUGUAAACUGCUUUUGUACGGAACGAAAAGGCUCUGGUUAAUACCUGGGGCUCAUGACGGUACCGUAAGAAUAAGCACCGGCUAACUACGUGCCAGCCGCCGCUGUAA
This 500-nucleotide ribosomal RNA is filed under the name uncultured bacterium. RNAcentral's name for it is "partial 16S ribosomal RNA". It matches the Rfam family "Bacterial small subunit ribosomal RNA", at positions 30 to 523 of the family's 1533-position model. The record is from RNAcentral.